Molecule: transfer RNA, 69 nt
Filed under: Vespula germanica
Lineage: Eukaryota; Metazoa; Arthropoda; Insecta; Hymenoptera; Vespidae
Description: tRNA-Arg
Source: RNAcentral
UAAUAUGAAGGAAAAAAUUCCAUUUAAUUUCGACUUAAAAAUUUGAUUUUAUAAAAAAAUCCAUAUUAA